UACGUAGGGUGCAAGCGUUAAUCGGAAUUACUGGGCGUAAAGCGUGCGCAGGCGGUGAUGUAGGACAGAUGUGAAAUCCCCGGGCUCAACCUGGGAACUGCAUUUGUGACUGCAUCGCUGGAGUACGGCAGAGGGGGAUGGAAUUCCGCGUGUAACAGUGAAAUGCGUAGAUAUGCGGAGGAACACCGAUGGCGAAGGCAAUCCCCUGGGCCUGUACUGACGCUCAUGCACGAAAGCGUGGGGAGCAAACAGG
Molecule: ribosomal RNA, 253 nt
Filed under: uncultured bacterium
Lineage: Bacteria
Description: partial 16S ribosomal RNA
Rfam family: Bacterial small subunit ribosomal RNA
Source: RNAcentral